GAGACACCCUUAUGGGGCAAGACUUGCUUCAGUGGGGCUUUGGUGCUCACUGAGUCUGCCCCCUUAUGGAUCUGA
This 75-nucleotide microRNA precursor is filed under the name Myotis myotis. Its description in RNAcentral is "mir-9229 microRNA precursor family". It matches the Rfam family "mir-9229 microRNA precursor family". Lineage: Eukaryota; Metazoa; Chordata; Mammalia; Chiroptera; Vespertilionidae. RNAcentral also lists the same sequence under 1 other name. The record is from Rfam by way of RNAcentral.